UACGAAGGGGGCUAGCGUUGCUCGGAAUCACUGGGCGUAAAGCGCACGUAGGCGGAUCUUUAAGUCAGGGGUGAAAUCCUGGAGCUCAACUCCAGAACUGCCUUUGAUACUGGGUGUCUUGAGUGUGGAAGAGGUAAGUGGAAUUGCGAGUGUAGAGGUGAAAUUCGUAGAUAUUCGCAGGAACACCAGUGGCGAAGGCGGCUUACUGGUCCAUUACUGACGCUGAUGCGCGAAAGCCAGGGGAGCGAACGGG
This 253-nucleotide ribosomal RNA is filed under the name uncultured bacterium. Its description in RNAcentral is "partial 16S ribosomal RNA". It matches the Rfam family "Bacterial small subunit ribosomal RNA", at positions 524 to 776 of the family's 1533-position model. The record is from RNAcentral.